GCAGCCAUGGUGACGCCGCUAUUAAUAGCGAGCAGGUUGGUAUAGUUGCGGCGGAAGACAGGCAGCUCCGUGAUUUUGGAGGUUCCGAACGUGUUUAGUUGCUCCGAGGAAACUGUGUUGAUCAGCGGCGCACUGGCUUCGACACUCACGGUUUCGCUGGUGGCGCCGACUUCGAGAACAUAGGUCUGACGGACGUUCUGCGCGGCUGACAGCUCGAUUCCUUUGCUCUCAAGACGCUUGAACCCUUUGGCUUCGACGCGCAGAGUGUAGCUGCCCACACGCAGAAAAUCGAAAACGGCUUCCCCGAGAGUGUUCGUUGUUUUGGUCGUU
Molecule: unclassified non-coding RNA, 330 nt
Filed under: uncultured bacterium
Lineage: Bacteria
Description: contains 16S-23S intergenic spacer region
Source: RNAcentral